AGGCAACCCUGUAAUUCCUUUAAGCAAGAACCUUAUAACAAAAUGUAGUGAUUGAAAAAGCAUUUCAUAAAUGGUCAUAAAAUUGAAACUUAAGGUAGUACUAAGAUUCGCUUUAUAUAGCUAAAAAUCUUUUGUAAAAAACAGCAAUAGCUUGAAACUAGAAUCCGAAAGGAGGCAACAAAGAUAAGCCAUAGGAAGCAUACAGAGAGUCCCGAUUGUGCCACGCAUGCCGUCCGGUAGAGAAGAACUCUACAGAAAGUCAUACUGUGUAGCGAUUCUUGGCACCUGUGUUGAGCUUCUUUGCAUCAUCCUGAAAAGGGCAAACAGGAAGUGUUUGUUUAUAAGCAAGAAACUCAAGACAUAAACCUGAAAGAUCACUGCAAACUAAAAAAAGCCAUUACAUGAAAUAUGAAGCCGAUAGUGUUGUUGUAAUCAAGUAACUCUUUCCACUGUUUCCCGAUGCUCAUCUGCAUCCAAACCAAGAAAGACCCGUGAGAACGGUUAAGAAAAUUACGGUAAAAGUACCAUGGAGGCCCCUGUACUAGGAGUUUAAUAGCAUUUUGCCCCAUUUACUCAAAAAGUAGGCAAAUUAGUCUCUAUACUUUGGAUUAAAGAGUUUUAUGUAAAAAUUUCAUCCAUUUGUACCGUUAAUAAAAACUAGAGUUGCUGAAUAAUAAAUUAGACGGAGACACGUGACAUGCCACAUGUACCUCGUACUGAGGUACAAAGACUGGUUUUUAACAGCAAAAAUGGAUGAACUUGGUUUUUAACAGCAAAAAUAGAUAACCUUUUUAACAAAAUGACCAGUUUGCUCUUUGAUCUAAUGUAUAAAGAUAGAUUUGCCCAUUUUUCGAGUAGAGGGGACAAAAUUCAAUCCAACUCUUAGAACAGGAGCCUCUACGAUAAUUUUACUGUCAUUUUUCGUAAUGAAGUAACUCUUAAGUCACCUGCGCAGUUUCAUUGGCAGCAUUCUUGGUCCACAAUGCUAUUCUGUCCUGCUUGGCUCUCACAUUGACAACUGCUCCGCAGAUUUCAUCGCUGUACUCAAACUCUUCCCCUAUCAAAGCCAGCAACUAGUACAGAAAAAAAAUAUACAACAGAUCAGGCCUCGUUUUUCACUUAAGCAUCGAAUUUUCAGGGAAAAGUACACCAUUAUAUCAUCUGAAACAAUACCGUGUACAACCAAGCCAUAUCUGAUUUCCCCUUUUUGAAAAUUACAGUCCACUUGCCUCCGUUAGCACAGACAGGGUCUUCCCACUUGGGCUCGAUUUUAUAUUUGAAACAAUGGAAGUCCGCUCCCACAGCCAAUUUGCUUGGAUGAUCUAUGUUAUUGUAAAGACUGUAAUCAAAAAAGUUUGACAGUUAAAUCCAUAGCUGGCAUUCACUUGAGAAACAAAUAGAAACUAACAAAAUAAAUGACACAUGAAAUCCGCAAUCAAUGGCAGCGAUAUAUAUGAAGAUGGUCCAAAUAGCUGUUUUCUGAUGAUCGCGUAACUUAUUCGACAGGAGGCACUAAGCAACAAUCCCAGAUUUUAAUAAACAAAGAUUAAAUUACCUUAUGUCAGAUAAAACCACUUUCCACAAGGUUGAUUACAAUGAAAUUUAAAGAACAGACCAAUUUAAUAUCAUCCAUUAAGAUCCAAGAUCCUUACAGUAAACAUUCUUUGAUGAUAACAGUUAAAGCAAUCCCAUUUACAUUCAUGGCUCUCACACACACAUAUGUUCCCACAAUAACAGUUAAAGCAAUCCCAUUUACACUCAUCAUAUAUAUAAACAAACAUGAGUCCACACACACACACAUGUGAAAAAUAAUCCACAAUAACAGUUAAUGGAAUCCCGUAAUUCCCAUUUACACUCAUCACAUAUAUUAACACAAGUAUAUAUAUGUAUGUGUACAUAUAUACAUGAACACUCUUCCACAAUAACAGGCAAAGCAAAUCCCAUUUACACUCAUCAUAUAUAUAUAUGCAUAUUGGUAUAUGUAUAUAUAAUCACAAGAUUAUAAACAGCAAUAGUUGACUUCAUUGUAAUGAGUAGACUAAAUUACAAAAAAAAAAAAAUGGAGUGCCAAACAGAUAAAUAACUAUAGAUUAUUCAAGGACUUGGUACUACAAAUUCAUUAUGAAGCCCUAUUUUGAAUAAACCCUAUACAUUCAUUAAACGAUCAAUAGCAGAAGUAAAACAAAAGCCCUAAAUCAAAUUUCCAAAUUUCAAGAAACCCAAACAUCUCCAAAACCCCAAAAAGUAACCCAAAGAACUAAUCCAACAUCUAACAUAUCAUCAAAAACCCAAAAUAAAUCAUAAAAUUCACACCCUUCUAAUAAAAAAAAUCAAAAAAGAAGAGAAAAAUAAUAACCUCCAGAAUUGUUCGAUGGUGGAGAAAGUGUAAAUAGGGAGCCUAGAACUACCCCAAGUAGCUUUUUUUGAUUUAGCACGAGGGUCAUCAAACCAAAAGGUCCAUGAAUGCUCCAACGGUUGAGGCUGUUCGACGACAACUUUCUUUAACGAAGACGACGCCGUAUCAUCUCCUUCACCUGCGAUCUCCCAUUCUUCAAGUUCACCAUCUUCUUCAUCUUUAGUGUUAGGGUUAGGGUUCUUGUUUUCUUCUUCGCUGAUGUUCAUUGAUUUGAGAUUUUCUUCAACCCCAAUUUUUUAAGUAAAGGGCAUGUUUAUCCUAAUUUGAUAAGUUCAUUGAAGUUUUCUCAGUUUUUGGUAAUUUCACUACUUGUUUGGUGUCACUAAAUCAGGUGACAUCUACUUCAAUCAAUCGCUUCAUAACAGUAUAGAUAACAAUUGUUACUAUUGUUAAAAGAUCAAAUCAAUCUGAAUUUUAAAAUUUUUGAAUCACUUUUUUGAAGAUCAAAUAAUUUUGAGGUUUAAAAUUUUCAGUAUCUUUUUAGUUAAAUCAAUUUUGAGUUUAAGUUAUUUUAAGCAUAAAUUAAUUUUUAAAUUUAAUCAUUUUAAGCUCAAAUCAUUUCAAAUUCAUAUAAAUCAUUUGAAUCCGAAGCUUAAUUUUUUUUUUAAAUCAUGUAAUUUCAUGUUUGAAUAAAUUCACAUUAUUUACUUUUAAAAUUACAUAAGACUAAAACAAGAUUUUUUUUUUUUUAAAUAUUCAUGUUUAAGACUUAUUUUGGGAAAGAUUGUUUAUAAUUAGAUAUCUUUUCCAUUUUCUUCAUUUUACAAUUAAAAUGUUUUAUUUUAUAUAAUCUCCAAUUUAACUUUUAUUUGCAUUUUUUUGUCAAUUUAAUUUUUUUUUUAAAUUUAGCACUUAUCAAUUUUGAAAAAAAAAUUUAAUUUGACCGUUCAACUUUAAAAAAAACAAAAUUUAAUUAAUUUUUAACGAAAAUAUAAAUUAAGAUGUUAAAAUUUUAAACAUGUUAACCUACGUAACACUUCAUGUGUACUUUAUGCUAAUAUUUUAUGAAUCUUUUUGUAAGUUUUUAUUUUUUUUAUAAUUUUUAAAUUAUUUAUUGACAUAACACAUAAGACACAAUAUCAUAUUAACAAAAAGUGUAUAUUGACCGCCACGCAAAUUGUCUCGCCAACAAUGUUCAAAAAAUAAUAUUUUAAUCAACAUUCAAAAAAUUAGUGACUACAUUUAACUUAAAAAUAUAUAUAGAAACUUUGAGGAUUAAAUUUAUCAUUAUAUCUUUUUACCAUCAUUAAAAUAGUUAUCUUAACCUCUCAUUUUCUCUGGAUCCGUUUACUUCAAACCCAAAACUAAAUCCGAAACAUUCCAAAUUCAAAAUGUCAAAUAUUUGAAUAACCCAAACAAGUAACUUGAAAUGUCCAUGACUCAAAAUCAUCCUAUCCGGAAAAUAAUAGCUCGAAACUCAAAACAACACAAACUCGAAAUAAUUUGAACCAAAAACAAUUCAAACCCAAAAUUAACCCAAACCUAAACAUACCCAAUCUUGAAAUUGACCCAAAGCCAAAAAAAAAAAAAUCCAAUUUUUUUUUUAAAUCAACCCAAAACCAACUAGAUUGACCUGCCCAAUUAACAGAUGAACCAUUUUUAAUAAAAUUCCACAAGUUCGCUUACAAUUGCUUGGCAUCAGCCCAAAUAAUCCAAAAUCGACUUUUAUGAUGAAAUCAGAUUGGAUCAAGUUCAUAUUCAAGUUACCCGGAUUGAGCUUUCGUGUUCUUAGUAGAAUUGACAGGUCUAAUCUCUCGUGUCUAAAACCAGUGAUUACUCAUUAUGAUACAACCUUGCAAACAAUACUUGCUUAGCUUAACGGCAAAAAAAAAACCCGGGACACGAAAAGCCGAAACAAAUUAAACCAAAUCAACCCAGAUCGAUAUGGUGCAAUCCUGUGAUACCUUUAAGCAAGAACCUUAUAACAAAAUGUAGUGAUUGAAAAAGCAUUUCAUAAAUGGUCAUAAAAUUGAAACUUAAGCUAGUACUAAUAUUCGCUUUAUAUAGCUAAAAAUCUUUGUAAAAAACAGCAAUAGCUUGAAACUAGAAUCCGAAAGGAGGCAACAAAGAUAAGCCAUAGGAAGCAUACAGAGAGUCCUGAUUGUGCCACGCAUGCUGUCCAGUAGAGAAG
RNAcentral lists this long non-coding RNA (4547 nucleotides) under Gossypium barbadense (sea-island cotton). RNAcentral describes it as "long non-coding RNA (GBAR_LNC005822)". The record is from RNAcentral. Lineage: Eukaryota; Viridiplantae; Streptophyta; Magnoliopsida; Malvales; Malvaceae.